RNAcentral lists this ribosomal RNA (516 nucleotides) under uncultured bacterium. Its description in RNAcentral is "bacterial SSU rRNA". It matches the Rfam family "Bacterial small subunit ribosomal RNA", at positions 28 to 524 of the family's 1533-position model. The record is from RNAcentral.
GACGAACGCUGGCGGCGUGCCUAAUACAUGCAAGUCGAGCGGAGUUUCAAGAAGCUUGCUUUUUGAAACUUAGCGGCGGACGGGUGAGUAACACGUGGGCAACCUGCCCCUUAGACUGGGAUAACUCCGGGAAACCGGAGCUAAUACCGGAUAAUCCCUUUCUCCACCUGGAGAGAGGGUGAAAGAUGGCUUCGGCUAUCACUAGGGGAUGGGCCCGCGGCGCAUUAGCUAGUUGGUAAGGUAACGGCUUACCAAGGCGACGAUGCGUAGCCGACCUGAGAGGGUGAUCGGCCACACUGGGACUGAGACACGGCCCAGACUCCUACGGGAGGCAGCAGUAGGGAAUCUUCCGCAAUGGACGAAAGUCUGACGGAGCAACGCCGCGUGAGUGAGGAAGGCCUUCGGGUCGUAAAGCUCUGUUGUGAGGGAAGAAGCGGUACCGUUCGAAUAGGGCGGUACCUUGACGGUACCUCACCAGAAAGCCACGGCUAACUACGUGCCAGCAGCCGCGGUAAU